RNAcentral lists this ribosomal RNA (450 nucleotides) under uncultured bacterium. RNAcentral's name for it is "partial 16S ribosomal RNA". It matches the Rfam family "Bacterial small subunit ribosomal RNA", at positions 338 to 795 of the family's 1533-position model. The record is from RNAcentral.
CCUACGGGCGGCUGCAGUAAGGAAUAUUGGUCAAUGGACGCAAGUCUGAACCAGCCAUGCCGCGUGGAGGAUGAAGGUCCUCUGGAUUGUAAACUUCUUUUAUCUGGGAAGAAACCCACGUUUUCCAAUGUGGUUGACGGUACCAGAUGAAUAAGCACCGGCUAACUCCGUGCCAGCAGCCGCGGUAAUACGGAGGGUGCAAGCGUUAUCCGGAUUCACUGGGUUUAAAGGGUGCGGAGACGGGUUGAUAGAAAGCCCCAAGCUUAACUUGGGAACUGCCGUGGAUACUAUCAGUCUUGAAUAUCGAGGAGGUAAGCGGAAUAUGUCAUGUAGCGGUGAAAUGCUUAGAUAUGACAUGGAACACCAAUUGCGUAGGCAGCUUACUACACGAUUAUUGACGCUGAGGCACGAAAGCGUGGGGAGCAAACAGGAUUAGAUACCCCAGUAGUC